UACAGUUUGGUGUAAUUGGUUAACAUGAGGGCUCAUGCCCCUUAGAUUUAGGUUCGAUUCCUAAGGCUGUAC
Molecule: non-coding RNA, 72 nt
Organism: Tulasnella sp. 419
Lineage: Eukaryota; Fungi; Basidiomycota; Agaricomycetes; Cantharellales; Tulasnellaceae
Source: the annotation of a GenBank genome assembly